GCGGUGCAUGACAUAAAAACUGUUGAAAAAACAACUACUUAACGUCUUCACUGAAGAAAAAUGGCCAAGGGUGACGUGAUGUCACUGUUCUCCACCUACACAGGAAGUGUUCUGAGAGUACCUGUCCAGUUAUGCCACAAGGCACAUCACCUCUUUGUACUCCAGUUUACACACAGGCUGGAAGCAGAAUGCCACAUGGGUUUACAGUGAAAAGUCUUAUGUGUCAAUUAUGUGUCUGAGUGUGGGUACCAUAUCCGUUUUUCU
Long non-coding RNA from Centropristis striata (black sea bass), 264 nucleotides. RefSeq lists it as uncharacterized. The record is from RefSeq and is a predicted model, not a curated record. Lineage: Eukaryota; Metazoa; Chordata; Actinopteri; Perciformes; Serranidae. The transcript has 3 exons.